UAGCGUAUAUUAAAGUUGUUGCAGUUAAAACGCUCGUAGUCGGAUUUCGGGGCGGGCCUGCCGGUUUGCCGAUGGGUAUGUACUGGUGGGUGCGUCCUUCCUUCCGGAGACCGCGCCUCUUCUUAACUGAAUGGGCGCGGGAGACGGAUCGUUUACUUUGAAAAAAUCAGAGUGUUUCAAGCAGGCAUGUCGCUUUUGCAUGGAUUAGCAUGGGAUAAUGAAAUAGGACUUUGGUGCUAUUUUGUUGGUUUCGAACACCGAAGUAAUGAUUAACAGGGACAGUCAGGGGCACUCGUAUUCCGCAGAGAGAGGUGAAAUUCUCAGACCCGCGGAAGACGAACCACUGCGAAAGCAUUUG
This 358-nucleotide ribosomal RNA is filed under the name Haptophyta environmental samples. RNAcentral's name for it is "SSU rRNA". It matches the Rfam family "Eukaryotic small subunit ribosomal RNA", at positions 595 to 957 of the family's 1831-position model. The record is from RNAcentral. Lineage: Eukaryota; Haptophyta.